UGAACAAUGCUGUCAAAGAAAUAUUGCUCAUACAAGACUUCUACCGUCAUGGAGAGCAACAACAUGGAUGAGGCCUUUUUUUCUUGACAUACCAGAUUCCCCACUAGAAGCUUUAAAUUUGGAACAAGAUGGAAGUCAAAACCACCCGAUAGGUUUUCCUGAGAUUCCAGAAGAUGGUAUGAACUGUUUUUAAAUGUGUGUUUGAAAUAACUGUUGUUGGAAAUAGUGUACAUUUUUAGGAGUUAUGCAUUAACA
This 255-nucleotide long non-coding RNA is filed under the name Chelonoidis abingdonii (Abingdon island giant tortoise). Its description in RNAcentral is "lncRNA (ENSCABG00000017147.1)". Lineage: Eukaryota; Metazoa; Chordata; Testudines; Testudinidae. The record is from RNAcentral.